ACCUUUUUAAUUUUCAAUCAGCGUCUGAAAAACUUAAUAAUUACAACUUUCAACAACGGAUCUCUUGGUUCUGGCAUCGAUGAAGAACGCAGCGAAAUGCGAUAAGUAGUGUGAAUUGCAGAAUUCAGUGAAUCAUCGAAUCUUUGAACGCACAUUGC
Molecule: ribosomal RNA, 158 nt
Filed under: Parastagonospora nodorum
Lineage: Eukaryota; Fungi; Ascomycota; Dothideomycetes; Pleosporales; Phaeosphaeriaceae
Description: 5.8S ribosomal RNA
Rfam family: 5.8S ribosomal RNA (bases 45-158)
About the family: 5.8S ribosomal RNA (5.8S rRNA) is a component of the large subunit of the eukaryotic ribosome. It is transcribed by RNA polymerase I as part of the 45S precursor that also contains 18S and 28S rRNA.
Source: RNAcentral